UACGAAGGGGGCUAGCGUUGCUCGGAAUCACUGGGCGUAAAGCGCACGUAGGCGGAUUGCUAAGUCAGGGGUGAAAUCCUGGAGCUCAACUCCAGAACUGCCUUUGAUACUGGCGAUCUUGAGUCCGAGAGAGGUGAGUGGAACUGCGAGUGUAGAGGUGAAAUUCGUAGAUAUUCGCAAGAACACCAGUGGCGAAGGCGGCUCACUGGCCCGGUACUGACGCUGAGGUGCGAAAGCGUGGGGAGCAAACAGG
RNAcentral lists this ribosomal RNA (253 nucleotides) under uncultured bacterium. RNAcentral's name for it is "partial 16S ribosomal RNA". It matches the Rfam family "Bacterial small subunit ribosomal RNA", at positions 524 to 776 of the family's 1533-position model. The record is from RNAcentral.